UGCCAGACUCCUACGGGAGGCAGCAGUGGGGAAUAUUGCGCAAUGGGGGAAACCCUGACGCAGCAACGCCGCGUGAGUGAAGAAGUAUCUCGGUAUGUAAAGCUCUAUCAGCGGGGAAGAAGGAAGACGGUACCCGACUAAGAAGCCCCGGCUAACUACGUGCCAGCAGCCGCGGUAAUACGUAGGAGGCGAGCGUUAUCCGGAUUUACUGGGUGUAAAGGGAGCGUAGACGGCGUCGCAAGUCUGAAGUGAAAGCCCGUGGCUCAACCGCGGAACCGCUUUGGAAACUGCGAGGCUGGAGUGCUGGAGAGGUAAGCGGAAUUCCUGGUGUAGCGGUGAAAUGCGUAGAUAUCAGGAGGAACACCGGUGGCGAAGGCGGCUCUCUGGCCUGUAACUGACACUGAGGCUCGAAAGCGUGGGGAGCAAACAGGAUUAGAUACCCCCGUAUGC
Molecule: ribosomal RNA, 450 nt
Filed under: uncultured bacterium
Lineage: Bacteria
Description: bacterial SSU rRNA
Rfam family: Bacterial small subunit ribosomal RNA
Source: RNAcentral